CUGACUUACCCAAAAUUUCGCUGUGAUUUAAGUGACCAGAUUGUAAAUAGUUCUCUUCCUACCCAUUGCCCUUUCCUUUCAACGCCCAUUUGUUUUCUUGGUAACACAAACAUUUGUGGUAAGGCCAGUCUCUAGGUCAGACCUGUGCUUGGCAAAGAGAUCUGCAGCCAACUUGGGGUACCACAGGUAAGGGAAAUGGCUACAAGGCCUCUCCAGGCAACUCCUAGCCUUCCUUCCUGGCCGGAGGUCUCUCAGUACUCCUGUUCUUCCACAAGAGUUUUGCACCUUCCCCCACCCACAGGCUACCCCUCCAAGAGAUGGCUGGUAAGACCGGACCACACUUCUGUUUUUUAAAUCUCAGGUCUGUCAACACUACACUUUGCCUGACUAGAUGCUUAUUACUCAGCUAGUGAGAACUCUGCAUUGCCCCGCUUAUACAUCUGCAUCUGGGAUCUCCCUUGCUCUGUGAACUGUCUUCUUCUCCCUAAGAAGCCAAAACACUGCCCAUAACCUCCAGACACCAGGGAGGGUCCAGGGAGUACUGCUGAGAGCCUCAAGGGAGCCAAUGCAGAAACAGCAGAAGUCCCUUCAAUAAAUAGGAGCUCAAGGAUACACUGAAGAGCAUGGCUGGAUCCUGGAAAAGGCCUUGCUCCGACCGGGAAGAUGUGAGACUGGCCCAAUAGGAGCAACAAAGGGCACUGCAGUGCUUCCACCACCUGAUUACCAGCCAGAUCUAACCCUAGGAAGACAGAGGUCCAGUCCAUCCCCCAACCAGCCACCUACACAACCUAUGUCUCACUCCUUCCCCACCACUUUCCCAACUCAGUGCUAAGGGACUAGAAGGGAAACAGAGACUUGAGUUUUAGGACCAUCCCAGCAUGUUGCCACAGACAAGUCCCCAGGCAGAUGGCUUUGUCCAUAAGUAAGAAAGAGAAGGGAGUCAUAUUUUAUGGGGUCUGAAAGUCUCCGUUUG
RNAcentral lists this long non-coding RNA (973 nucleotides) under Homo sapiens (human). RNAcentral describes it as "HSALNT0232722". Lineage: Eukaryota; Metazoa; Chordata; Mammalia; Primates; Hominidae. The record is from RNAcentral.